Molecule: long non-coding RNA, 219 nt
Filed under: Lathyrus oleraceus (garden pea)
Lineage: Eukaryota; Viridiplantae; Streptophyta; Magnoliopsida; Fabales; Fabaceae
Description: Pisum sativum (pea) long non-coding RNA (PSAT_LNC034014)
Source: RNAcentral
GAAUAAUCAUACAAGCAACAAUAUUUCAAUUGAAUACAUGAAUACGGGAAAUCUGUCACUGCCGAAGCAUAAGCUCUUACAUGAUGAAAAUCUGUCACUGCCGAAGCAUAAGCUCUUACAUGAUGAAUCAUAUAGGAAAAAUACAAGGGAAGAAUGAAGCCAAUAGUACAUACUAUAAGUCUAUAACACAUUAAGUUUCAACAAACAAACAACUUCUUU